AGGAUGAACGCUGGCGGCGUGCCUAGGACAUGCAAGUCGAGUGGGUUUAGGCCCACGGCGAACGGGUGAGUAAUACCUAGGAACUUUUUUCAAGUCGAGGAUAUCCUUCCGAAAGGAAGUGCAAUACUUGAUGUGGCAGCAAUGCUAAAGGAGCAAUCCGCUUGAAGCAAGGCCUGGGCACCAUCAGCUAGUUGGUAAGGUAAUGGCUUACCAAGGCUUUGACGGUUAGCGGAUCUGAGAGGAUGGCCCGCCACACUGGGACUGCGACACGGCCCAGACUCCUACGGGAGGCAGCAGUUUGGAAUUUGGUCAAUGGGGAAACCCUGAACCAGCGACGCCGCGUGGACGAUGAAGGCCUUCGGGUCGUAAAGUCCUUUGGCAGGGAAAAUUUUGAUUGUACCUGCAGAAUAAGAGUUGCUAACUCUGCGCCAGCAGCCGC
This 439-nucleotide ribosomal RNA is filed under the name uncultured bacterium. RNAcentral describes it as "SSU rRNA". It matches the Rfam family "Bacterial small subunit ribosomal RNA", at positions 26 to 518 of the family's 1533-position model. The record is from RNAcentral.